UACGAAGGGGGCUAGCGUUGUUCGGAAUUACUGGGCGUAAAGCGUGCGCAGGCGGCUGCUCAAGUCAGGGGUGAAAGCCCAGAGCUCAACUCUGGAAUUGCCUUUGAGACUGAGUGGCUUGAGUACGAGAGAGGUGAGUGGAAUUCCCAGUGUAGAGGUGAAAUUCGUAGAUAUUGGGAAGAACACCGGUGGCGAAGGCGGCUCACUGGCGCGUAACUGACGCUCAUGCACGACAGCGUGGGGAUCAAACAGG
Molecule: ribosomal RNA, 253 nt
Filed under: uncultured bacterium
Lineage: Bacteria
Description: partial 16S ribosomal RNA
Rfam family: Bacterial small subunit ribosomal RNA
Source: RNAcentral